This 272-nucleotide unclassified non-coding RNA is filed under the name Hevea brasiliensis (rubber tree). The record is from RNAcentral. Lineage: Eukaryota; Viridiplantae; Streptophyta; Magnoliopsida; Malpighiales; Euphorbiaceae.
GCAUGUUCAAUGCCUUUACAGGCAGCUCUACUUAAAGAGCCUGAUGUAUCGGUAAACCGUGUUAUUUGGAGCCCUGAUGGUUCUUUAUUUGGUGUUGCCUAUUCGAGGCACAUUGUUCAAAUAUACUCCUAUCACGGUGGUGAUGACAUGCGACAGCACCUGGAGAUUGAUGCUCACGUCGGUGGAGUUAAUGAUCUAGCAUUCUCCAAUCCCAAUAAACAACUUUGUGUCAUAACGUGUGGGGAUGACAAGACCAUUAAGGUCUGGGAUGC